Long non-coding RNA from Gossypium arboreum, 1084 nucleotides. RefSeq lists it as uncharacterized. The record is from RefSeq and is a predicted model, not a curated record. The transcript has 2 exons. Lineage: Eukaryota; Viridiplantae; Streptophyta; Magnoliopsida; Malvales; Malvaceae.
ACAAACCAAGUCCAAAACAAUAAAACCCUUUCAGAAAAUAAACAAAGAAACAGAAAAAUAAACCGAAAGCAGAAAAACAAUAAAACACAGCCCAAGAAAGCAGCCCACACAAAUAAAGACCCAACAAAAUCAAAGGCAGUGGAAAACUCUAGAGACCAUUACGUCUCAGCUGGCAUCAACAACACCCCUCUUGAAGAUAACGCCAUCGCCUGGGAAAAGCAAACUUCAUUCAUAUCAAUCGUUUCUUCCAUCAGUCAACAGCAAUUAAUAUUCACCGACUUCCUUCCCACUUUUCUUCUUGAGAAAUCCAAAAAGUAAAGCUUACUGCAAAACUCCUCCCACUUCAAACGUCCGUCCCCUCAACUCCCUCUGGCGCUCCGUCCAUCUCCUCUCCUCAUCCGCCACAGCCUCAGCCCCAGGAGGAACUCGGUUCAACAGAUAAGUAAAAACUCUAUUUUUAAGACCUUCAGUAGCUAUUAGAUGGGCAACUCUGUUAACUUGAAGGGAACUUAAAUGUGAAAAAGUUAGUGGUUAGGGAAAUGCUUUGGUUAACAGGAUGAGGCAACAAAAAUAUUUAAGCCGUUGUCUACUUAUUAUCACUGGUAAUCCGAGUUAGCACCUAGUGCUCUCGAGUCUUGUUAGGCUCUAAAUUUACGGAUUUGAGCUAAUCUAUGGAUUCAUCUUCUAAUUUUCACUUAGGAAUAACACAACCUGGGCGUCAAUCCGAUCAAUGGAGCUAAGCUCACUCCGAUCAUCGAAAAGCUCGAUUUGGUUGGAAGCUUGUCGGAGACUUAUCACAUUAUCCAACAGUUAAUUUGGUAUUUUUGAGUAUUUUUUAUCAAGGUUAAUAAAGGCGUGUAUAGGAUGUUUCGUUAUGGUAUAAGAUGACUUGUAAUGUUAUUUUGGUAAAUGGUUUGAUGGUAUUUUGGCAUGUAAUAAUUUUGAAACUUAUCUCAGUUUGGUACCAUUUGAUGCUCUAACAAAUUAGGUCAAUUUGGUUAUGCUACUACGCAUAUUUGAAUGGCUAUUAUGGUAUGUUUGAAAUGUUGUAUUAAUGGUUAAGUUUGUGGUAUGUUUUGGUAAA